CAAAAACAUCGCCUCUUGAUCAACCAUAAGAGGUCCAGCCUGCCCGGUGACAAAGUUUAACGGCCGCGGUACCCUAACCGUGCGAAGGUAGCAUAAUCACUUGUUCUUUAAAUAGGGACUAGUAUCAACGGCAUCACGAGGGUUACACUGUCUCCUUUCCCCAAUCAGUGAAACUGAUCUCCCCGUGAAGAAGCGGGGAUAUAACUAUAAGACGAGAAGACCCCAUGGAGCUUUAAGCUCAACAACACCUCUAUAUAAAUAUAUCUCCAUAACCCACGAGCCCUGUUUGUUAGCUUUAGGUUGGGGUGACCGCGGAGUAUAACAUAACCUCCACGACGAAUAGGCCUAAAACCUUUAUCCAAGAGCUACUGCUCUAAGAAUCAUAAAAUUGACAUAAAAUGAUCCGAUUUUCGAUCAACGAACCAAGUUACCCUGGGGAUAACAGCGCAAUCCAUUUCAAGAGCCCCUAUCGACAAAUGGGUUUACGACCUCGAUGUUGGAUCAGGGUAUCCUAGUGGUGCAGCCGCUACUAAAGGUUCGUUUGUUCAACGAUUAAAACCCUAC
Molecule: ribosomal RNA, 564 nt
Filed under: Tomopterna branchi (Namaqua sand frog)
Lineage: Eukaryota; Metazoa; Chordata; Amphibia; Anura; Pyxicephalidae
Description: partial large subunit ribosomal RNA
Rfam family: Bacterial large subunit ribosomal RNA
Source: RNAcentral